RNAcentral lists this ribosomal RNA (495 nucleotides) under uncultured Anaerolineaceae bacterium. RNAcentral describes it as "bacterial SSU rRNA". It matches the Rfam family "Bacterial small subunit ribosomal RNA", at positions 903 to 1382 of the family's 1533-position model. The record is from RNAcentral. Lineage: Bacteria; Bacillati; Chloroflexota; Anaerolineae; Anaerolineales; Anaerolineaceae.
CUGCGCCUUGCCAGCCCGCUCAGAAACUCAAAGGAAGUUGACGGGUCCCCGCACAAGCAGCGGAGCGUGUGGUUUAAUUCGAUGCUACACGAAGAACCUUACCUGGGUUUGACAUAUAGGUGUAGGGAACUGAAAAGGGACCGACCCUUCGGGGAGCCUAUACAGGUGUUGCAUGGCUGUCGUCAGCUCGUGUCGUGAGAUGUUCGGUUAAGUCCGCUAACGAGCGCAACCCUCGUCGUAUGUUAUAUGUGUCAUACGAGACUGCCGGUAAAAAGCCGGAGGAAGGUGAGGAUGAUGUCAAGUCAGCAUGACCUUUAUAUCCAGGGCUACACACACGCUACAAUGGUCUGUACAAUGGGUAGCCAAGCCGCGAGGCGGAGCCAAUCCUGAAAGCAGGCCUCAGUUCAGAUUGCAGUCUGCAACUCGACUGCAUGAAGCCGGAGUUGCUAGUAACCGCAGGUCAGCAAUACUGCGGUGAAUACGUUCCCGGGUCUU